Molecule: ribosomal RNA, 460 nt
Filed under: uncultured bacterium
Lineage: Bacteria
Description: partial 16S ribosomal RNA
Rfam family: Bacterial small subunit ribosomal RNA
Source: RNAcentral
CCUACGGGGUGCUGCAGUGAGGAAUAUUGGUCAAUGGACGAGAGUCUGAACCAGCCAAGUAUCGUGAAGGAUGACUGCCCUAUGGGUUGUAAACUUCUUUUAUAUGGGAAUAAAAUGUUCCACGUGUGGGAUUUUGUAUGUACCAUAUGAAUAAGGAUCGGCUAACUCCGUGCCAGCAGCCGCGGUAAUACGGAGGAUCCGAGCGUUAUCCGGAUUUAUUGGGUGUAAAGGGAGCGUAGGUGGAUUGUUAAGUCAGUUGUGAAAGUUUGCGGCUCAACCGUAAAAUUGCAGUUGAAACUGGCAGUCUGGAGUACAGUAGAGGUGGGCGGAAUUCGUGGUGUCGCGGUGAAAUGCUGAGAUAUCACGAAGAACUCCGAUUGCGAAGGCAGUUCACUGGACUGCAACUGACACUGAGGCUCGAAAGUGUGGGUAUCAAACAGGAUUAGAUACCCCUGUAGUC